GUAACGUGUGGGCAACCUGCCCUAUACUGGGGAAUAAUCACUGGAAACGGUGACUAAUACCGCAUGUCAUUACGGAAGGGCAUCCUUCUGUAAGAAAAGGAGUAAUUCGGUAUAGGAUGGGCCCGCAUCUGAUUAGCUAGUUGGUGAGAUAACAGCCCACCAAGGCGACGAUCAGUAGCCGACCUGAGAGGGUGAUCGGCCACAUUGGGACUGAGACACGGCCCAAACUCCUACGGGAGGCAGCAGUGGGGAAUAUUGCACAAUGGGGGAAACCCUGAUGCAGCAACGCCGCGUGAAGGAAGAAGGUUUUCGGAUCGUAAACUUCUAUCAACAGGGACGAAGAAAGUGACGGUACCUGAAUAAGAAGCCCCGGCUAACUACGUGCCAGCAGCCGCGGUAAUACGUAGGGGGCAAGCGUUAUCCGGAAUUACUGGGUGUAAAGGGAGCGUAGGCGGCACGCCAAGCCAGAUGUGAAAGCCCGAGGCUUAACCUCGCGGAUU
Molecule: ribosomal RNA, 500 nt
Filed under: uncultured bacterium
Lineage: Bacteria
Description: bacterial SSU rRNA
Rfam family: Bacterial small subunit ribosomal RNA
Source: RNAcentral